This 493-nucleotide ribosomal RNA is filed under the name uncultured bacterium. RNAcentral describes it as "bacterial SSU rRNA". It matches the Rfam family "Bacterial small subunit ribosomal RNA", at positions 9 to 507 of the family's 1533-position model. The record is from RNAcentral.
UAGUUUGAUCAGUGCUCAGAUUGAACGCUGGCGGCAGGCCUAACACAUGCAAGUCGAGCGGGGUUUUCGGACCUAGCGGCGGACGGGUGAGUAAUGCGUAGGAAGCUACCCGACAGAGGGGGGAUACCAGUUUGGAAAACGACUGUUAAUACCGCAUAAUGUCUACGGACCAAAGUGUGGGACCUUCGGGCCACAUGCUGUCGGAUGCGCCUACGUGGGAUUAGCUAGUUGGUGAGGUAAUGGCUCACCAAGGCGACGAUCCCUAGCUGGUUUGAGAGGAUGAUCAGCCACACUGGAACUGAGACACGGUCCAGACUCCUACGGGAGGCAGCAGUGGGGAAUAUUGGACAAUGGGCGCAAGCCUGAUCCAGCAAUGCCGCGUGCAGGAUGAAGGCCUUCGGGUUGUAAACUGCUUUGUACGGAACGAAACGGUGAGCUCUAAUACAGUUUGCUAAUGACGGUACCGUAAGAAUAAGCACCGGCUAACUACGUG